RNAcentral lists this ribosomal RNA (253 nucleotides) under uncultured bacterium. Its description in RNAcentral is "partial 16S ribosomal RNA". It matches the Rfam family "Bacterial small subunit ribosomal RNA", at positions 524 to 776 of the family's 1533-position model. The record is from RNAcentral.
GACAUAGGUCGCAAACGUUAUCCGGAAUUAUUGGGCGUAAAGGAUGCGUAGAUGGUUCAGCAAGUUACUGGUGGGAAAUCGAGGCCCAACCUCGUGGAAGUUAGUAAUACUGUUGAACUUGAGUGCAGGAGAGGUUAACGGAACUUCAUGUGGAGCGGUAAAAUGCGUAGAUAUCUGGAGGAACACCGGUGGCGAAGGCGGCAUCCUGGACCAACACUGACGCUGAGGAGCGAAAGCCAGGGGAGCAAACGGG